GGCGGGCCUCCCCGCAUGACAGCCCUGCGAAUCUGGUCAGGUCCGGAAGGAAGCAGCCACAGUGGGUCGUUGUCAGUGCCGGGGCUCCGGCUCGCCACU
Molecule: non-coding RNA, 99 nt
Organism: Thiobacillus sp. SCN 64-35
Lineage: Bacteria; Pseudomonadati; Pseudomonadota; Betaproteobacteria; Nitrosomonadales; Thiobacillaceae
Source: Rfam